GGCGAACGCUGGCGGCGUGCUUAACACAUGCAAGUCGAACGGAAAGGCCCUGCUUUUGUGGGGUGCUCGAGUGGCGAACGGGUGAGUAACACGUGAGUAACCUGCCCUUGACUUUGGGAUAACUUCAGGAAACUGGGGCUAAUACCGGAUAGGAGCUCCUGCUGCAUGGUGGGGGUUGGAAAGUUUCGGCGGUUGGGGAUGGACUCGCGGCUUAUCAGCUUGUUGGUGGGGUAGUGGCUUACCAAGGCUUUGACGGGUAGCCGGCCUGAGAGGGUGACCGGCCACAUUGGGACUGAGAUACGGCCCAGACUCCUACGGGAGGCAGCAGUGGGGAAUAUUGCACAAUGGGCGGAAGCCUGAUGCAGCAACGCCGCGUGCGGGAUGACGGCCUUCGGGUUGUAAACCGCUUUCGCCUGUGACGAAGCGUGAGUGACGGUAAUGGGUAAAGAAGCACCGGCUAACUACGUG
Molecule: ribosomal RNA, 468 nt
Filed under: uncultured bacterium
Lineage: Bacteria
Description: partial 16S ribosomal RNA
Rfam family: Bacterial small subunit ribosomal RNA
Source: RNAcentral